Long non-coding RNA from Alosa sapidissima (American shad), 1689 nucleotides. RefSeq lists it as uncharacterized. The record is from RefSeq and is a predicted model, not a curated record. The transcript is spliced from 7 exons. NCBI's taxonomy places the organism in Eukaryota, Metazoa, Chordata, Actinopteri, Clupeiformes, Clupeidae.
UUAGGUGCUGCAGUAGGUAAAUCAUGUGCUGCAAGAGAUCGCUAUGGUUCUACAGAAAUGGGUCUGGAUCCUCCACAACGCAGGGAAAAGAGCAAUAGCACCCCAGCAAUGUGAGAACAGAUCGGCAUCACCAAGAAAAUGGAGGAGGAUGAAGAGCUAUAGAGACUACAACUGGACAGACUGCAGAGGAGAGGGGAUAUCAUUGAGUGGGCUGUGUAAUCAAACGGAUGUCUAGGUUCUCAGCAAGUUAUUAACCGAGCCUUGUUUCUAGUGUAUCGUAGAUGAUUGUGUUCAUGGCAAUUCACACAUUAUCGAUGGGGAAGUACAUCACAUACAAAUACAUGUCAUAUUAUCUUGGUAGUUCUAAAGUUAAAUGUUAGAGAAGUCAAUGUUGCUGGCUUCAUAGUUGUCACGAAGAGACCGCACACCAGGCUACUUAUCUGCAAUACCACGUUUGUCAUCCAUCGCUUCUCAUGGUCAUGCGAGGAGGCUUUCUUUUAUGUCUGUCGGCUGCGCGAUUAAGGGACCGCCUCGCAGAACACAAAUACGCUAUCAGAGUGUUGAACCCAGACUACCCACAUUUUAGCGAGUGCCGUAAUAAAAAUGAUUCUGUGUUGCGUGUGAGACCUAUGGAGAGGGGUGGGUCAACAGGCUACAGAGACUAAACCAAAGGGAAUCAUUUUGGAUACAUCACCUUAAUGCUAUGGAGUAUCCAGGUCUAAAUGAAGAUGUUGAUUUGACUUGUUUUUUUGUAAAUGUCUUGCAUGUAAAUGAUGCAUCUUUCUAUACAGUAUUGUUUUGAUUUAUUGUCUGUUGUUAUGGGACCUGCUGAUUUAUGUUCUCUAUUCUGUGGGUGUGAUAUAUAUAUGCACCUGUAGAAUAAUGUGUUGUGCUCACAUGACCUGAUGUCACUAGGUGAGGCUUAUGUCCUCAGCUGUGAAUACUAACCCCUGAUGACGACCUCUGUGUUAGAUAGAGAUAGAGAAACAUUUUGGCUUUUUAAUAUGAAGUAGCCAGUCAUCAGAACAAACUCAUCAGGGUGACUGUUGCAUUAUAUCAUGAGUAAUAUCUAGAGCAAAAGGUAUCUGAAACCUGGAGUUAGACCUGAAUUUGAGUUGGACUGAGCCGUGAAGACAGAAGCACGUUCUCAUACUACAGAUACAUCAUCUUACUGAGCACACACACAGAGAACAGAAGCCUCUUCUCAGAGAAAAGAAACAUGUUAUCGUAGAACAGCACCACAUGCAUGAACAGAUCAGUAUGUUGUUAUCAUGAUCAUCAUGCUUGUUCACAUUGCAUUGUAAAUGCUGCAGCCGCUGCAAAUGGAGCUAGAAUUCUCCAUCACAGGAAUGAUACAGAUUAUGAAGCCUUGUGUGUCAUGUGACUGCAUAUCACCCAUGUGUUGUAUAAACAGUGUAUAUACAUUGUGUAAAAUUGUACAUGUAUAUAGCCAGGCCUGCUGAAUGUUUUAGAAAUGAUUAAUAUAACAUUGUUAAUCAUAAAAAAAGGCCUUAACUCAUCUUUUUAGAUAAGCCUAUGGCUAAAUCUGCUAUUUUAAUGUUUUUUUUCUCUCUGUUUUGCUUUUAUGCUAGUUUUAAAGUCUUUUGUGUUUUUUUAUGUGCAUUGUAGCACUUUGAGGUCAUUGAUUUGAUGUAAAGUGUGUUAUAAAUAAAAUGUAUUAUUAUUAUU